ACACUCCUGCGGGAGGCAGCAGUGGGGAAUAUUGGACAAUGGGCGCAAGCCUGAUCCAGCCAUGCCGCGUGAGUGAUGAAGGCCCUAGGGUUGUAAAGCUCUUUCACCGGUGAAGAUAAUGACGGUAACCGGAGAAGAAGCCCCGGCUAACUUCGUGCCAGCAGCCGCGGUAAUACGAAGGGGGCUAGCGUUGUUCGGAUUUACUGGGCGUAAAGCGCACGUAGGCGGACUAUUAAGUCAGGGGUGAAAUCCCGGGGCUCAACCCCGGAACUGCCUUUGAUACUGGUAGUCUUGAGUUCAAGAGAGGUGAGUGGAAUUCCGAGUGUAGAGGUGAAAUUCGUAGAUAUUCGGAGGAACACCAGUGGCGAAGGCGGCUCACUGGCUCGAUACUGACGCUGAGGUGCGAAAGCGUGGGGAGCAAACAGGAUUAGAAACCCUGGUAGUCCC
Molecule: ribosomal RNA, 447 nt
Filed under: uncultured organism
Description: partial 16S ribosomal RNA
Rfam family: Bacterial small subunit ribosomal RNA
Source: RNAcentral